This 258-nucleotide ribosomal RNA is filed under the name uncultured bacterium. RNAcentral describes it as "partial 16S ribosomal RNA". It matches the Rfam family "Bacterial small subunit ribosomal RNA", at positions 793 to 1055 of the family's 1533-position model. The record is from RNAcentral.
GUCCACCCGUAACGUUGGGAACUAGUUGUGGGACCAUUCCACGGUCUCCGUGACGCAGCUAACGCAUUAAGUUCCCGCCUGGGGAGUACGGCCGCAAGGCUAAACUCAAAGGAAUUGACGGGCCCGCACAAGCGGUGGAGCAUGUGGUUUAAUUCGAUGCAACGCGAAGAACCUUACCUGGCCUUGACAUGUCUGGAAUCCUGCAGAGAUGCGGGAGUGCCUUCGGGAAUCAGAACACAGGUGCUGCAUGGCUGUCGU